Misgurnus anguillicaudatus (oriental weatherfish) is the source of this 4143-nucleotide non-coding RNA. The record is from RefSeq and is a predicted model, not a curated record. Lineage: Eukaryota; Metazoa; Chordata; Actinopteri; Cypriniformes; Cobitidae.
CUAGACCGAGAUUCUGAUCCUGCUUGUGUUUUACGCGAUGGGUGAGUUGUUUUGAUUCGUAACCCUUCAAAAAACGUAUGCUAUUAUAUUGAUCACAACAUUAGUGUGUAGAUUGUAAUCAGCGCGUCUUCCCGCGGACGAUAUGCACAUCAAAAGGUAUUGUACAGCAAUAUAAAUGGUCAUUUUAAGACACUUCACAAUAAGAUUUGUACUGUCAAUACAUUAUGUGAAAAAUCAUUGUAAGUUGAAAACUUAAUUCUGAGCUGUGUUUACCAUCGAAUUUGGACUAAUACUGUAAUAUCAAUAUGACUAACAAUUUCGUUUUGAACAUCACAUAUAAACUUACAUAAUGAAAUAAACGAUGUCAAACGCAACAUUUAUAAGACUUGAUUACCUUAUCCAUCAACGUGAUUUCUCGUUCUCGUCUGAUUGAUGGCUAAAGUUAAAGACUACAAAUCCCAUAAUUCCACGCUGCUUCAGAGCGUCAGUAAACAACAUCAUUGUUUUUGUUUGAUCUGGCGCCAUCUUUCGGCACAUAAAUACAAAUUGUAUCUUUAAGAAGAAAGGCAACACCGCCACAGUGAUAAAGCAAAAAGAAAAACCGUGGCAAAGUAUUGCAGACCGCCUGAAUGCGUAAGUAGUGCACAAUUACACACUCACCGCUCUGCUGAAACAUCACAAUUACAAUUAAAAUAUUUAAUUCACAUCUCCAAAAACGCAAUUGUACUCUGAUAAUAAAACAGUUCAUAUUUUUAUUGAAAUGGACUGCAAAUAUGAGUGAAAUUGUGUAAAGUUACUCCAUCACACUGGAUAAGGCUUCAAUAAAUUAUUAUGACAGCCUUACAUUAAUUUAUUACUACGCUCAUUAUGUACUCUGCUUCUUAUGUUGUCCACCGUUGACUUUUUUCUGCUUUUAUUAAUGUAAAGCUGGUUUGAAACAAUGAAGCAAUUGUGAAAAGCGCUUUAUAAAUAAAAUUUGAUUGAAUAAAUAGAUGAGCUAUUAAUAAUAAUCAAUUUAAUUUAUAAAGCGCCUUUCAAAGGACCCAAGGUCACUUGCUCAUUGCACUGCAAAAAAUGACUUUCUUCGUGUUUUUGUCUUGCUUUCAGUAAAAAUAUAAAAACAUUCUUAAAUGAAGAUGUAUUAAAAGUUUUCUUGAAAUAUACUUUUCCAUAAACACUUAAUUUAAAACAAAUUUUCAUAUUCCAUUGGCUGAUUGAUUUUUUUCCCCCUUAUUUUCCUAGGUCAUUUGCUCAUCAAGAAAAUGCAUCUUAAUUUAAGAAUUUUUUAUGUUUUUAAUGAAAACAAGACAAAAAUACAAAGUAAGUCAUUUUUUGCUGUGUGACUCCAUUGAAUGUUCUUGUGUGAUAAAGAAAGUCUCUCUCUUUGUGUGUGAUGUAGAUUAAAUAUGACCGGGCCAAAAUGGUCACAGCAGUAGGUCAAAAUCAAAUACAAGAACAUUCUGCAGAAUGCAGUGAAAAAGAAUACCCAGAGACAAGGCACGGGUGGUGGGUCACCAAAAGCUGAGCUCACCCCAGCAGAGGCCAGCUUUGGAGCUAAAUAAAGGCAGGCCUGUUGGAGGGGAUCCCUGGGGGAAAAGAGACAAGCAUAGGUCCCUCCCAAGAUGCCACCCGCUUCAAACAAGUGUCUGGCAGCACUGUGUUCCUGUUAAAGCCACCAGCAUGAGCACAAGACGAUGCUGAUCCAGUGAGUACUCCAUCAAAGGCCUGGCAUGUCUUGUCUACUAGCUUCAAUAUGAAUCUGAUUAAAUGUGAUAGGGUCAAGGCCCCAUUUCAUCAGCACAUAACGACGACGAUGAUGAUGAGGAGACCAUCUCUCUGGAUUCCAAAAGGCAUAAGGACCCAGUGUCAUUGGUGCACUGGACUGCACACACAUAAGGAUAAAAGCCCCCUCAGGUGGCAGAUUUUGUAAAUAUGAAAUCUUUUCACAGCAUUAAUGUUCAGGUGAACAUAACUUUUUGAUCUCUUCCAUUGAACACUGGCAAAAUGGCCUGGCUCAGUCCAUGACUCCAGAAUCUUUCGGACCUCUGAAAUCUAUCAGCGCCUAUCACAAGGUGAAUUCUCUGGUGUGUUGCUGGGAGACAGGGGGUAUGGCUGCCAGCCUUUUUUCCUGACACCUUUCACAGACCCCCAGGAAGCACAGCAGGCCUACAACUAUGCCCAUGCCAGGGCCAGAGUUGAAAUGACCUUUGGCCUCUCACUGCCUUCACAAAUUAAGGGUCAGCCCUGUGAGGGCAUGUGACAUUACUGUGGCUUGUGCUGUCCUCCACAAUGUGGCCUGCCUGAGGAAGGAGAGGGCCCCCAGAGUGCCGCCAACCAUGGACUGGGACAAUCCGGAAAUCUUCCCUGAUUACAACAGUGGUCGGCUGCUGAGAGACCGAUAUGUGUUGAAUUAUUUUAGUUAGUAUGUGUGCUUUCAAUUUUUUUUUUUUUUUGGCCUCUCUUGAUGUUUGUGCUGUAUACUGUGUGUAUACUGUUUGUAAUACAAGCUUGCAGGGAUGCUACUGCAUCCAUUAAUUGUCUUGUUUUCAGUUGUCUGAAAUUGUCUGUUCAGUUAGUGUGUGUAUGGAUUUGUCCUGCAUUUAUUUCAGUGUGCAGACAUGAGGGGGUGUUAUAUACAGACCUUUGGUUGUAUAAUAUGAUUUGAUUCUGUGCUUUCCAUCUUGUAGAGUCACUGUGUGACUUCAGUUUCGAAAAGAGCUGAUGGUUUACCUGCUUUGUUUUGCCCUUAUUCAAUAAAGGAACAUAAUGUUACACUUUGUGCUUUUAUAUUUAUAUGGAAUGUGUAUUUUAUAUGACAGAGUAUAAGGGCCACACCGAGUAAAGGAGAAAGUCAUACAUUUGAGGCUGGUUCUUUCUGUGGAAAGAUGCAUAUUGUUUUUACAGUCCUGAUACUUGUAACAAUUUGAUGCUGAUGUACCAAAAUAUUAAGUAUGUCCUUGUUUCUGAAACCAUACUGAAGUACAAUUUCACGAAAUGCCCCACAACUGUUAUUGUAACAACUGUGCUCCUCUAAAACAACAAGUUACAAUAUUACAACUUCAUCCUCUGUGGCCCUAAUGUUCUAUCAUUUUAUAUAUAUAUAUAUAUAUAUAUAGCCUCAUUCUAUUGGAAACUGUAAAUUAUCUAAUGAUAGCCACAUUGUCUAAAAAUCAUAAUUUAUCCAAAAUUAUUGAAAUUAAUAAUCAUAAACAUAAAAAAAUGACAGUGGGUCUAGUUAUAUGUGAUAACAAUGUAUAUUGGGCAGUGAAAUAACUAUUGGUUUUCUGUUUGUGGUGACUGCUGACUGACAUAAGGGACGAGAUUAAAUAGAUCCUGGAAUUUAGCCUGGUCUGGAGUAGGCUAGCUUCACAGAAUAGAUGGUAAUUUAUACCAUAACAUAUCCUCCUGCCCCCUAUCCAGCUUUAGUGCAACCGGAUCACGGAUCAAUUGAGCCAGGAUCACCAAGAUAUCCCGGCUUAAUCCCUUAUCCUAGUUUUGUGCAAUAGGCCCCAGAAUUAAGACCAUCUCCAUAACAGUGAGCAAUAUUUGUGUUGUUUUUGAGUCUCAAGUAUUUUAAGAGUUUGACUUCUUUCAAAGCUUAUUUUAAGUGUUAUGUUAAAUUGUUAGUCAUUACCUGCAUUAGCAGUUUUGAAAUGUUCAUGAUUAUUUUAGCAUUGAAAGUGAUAUAAAUUGACAAUAAAGUAUUUUGAUAUUAAACCUUUACAGUUUUGUUUUUUUCAUUUUUCAUAUUGCACCUCCUUCAUGUUUUGUGAUGUUAUAGAUGAAUGAACUGUUGAAUAUUUAUGCUGAAAACUGAUAUUUACCGAACUGAAAUAUUUUGCUUUAUCGGUUUUCAAUUUAAAACAAAUAUAUUAUUUAAGUAAAUCACAAUUAAGCAUUAAAGUAUAAUUAUUACAUAAUAAGGGACCAGUCCAGUACCCAUAAAAAACCCAUACUGGGACCUGGUAAAUAAUGUGGCCUUCAUUAGUGGGGCCAAUAUGGGCCCCAUGUGUGUUGCCCAGCUGGGGACCAACAGAAUAAUGAACAAUGAAUUCUCUCAAGAUGAAGAGCAAAAAACAAUGUGUAAUUUGUAAAUGUCCUAUUCUGCAUUUUGUAUAGAUGACCUGAUUUUUAAAACUGUUU